CACAAUCACAAAAACACAGCAAACCUAAUUGGCACUGUCAAACCAUCAACCUCCUGACAACUCCAAGCAGUCUGCAAAGGAAAAGGUCAAGGUUCAGUCCUUGCUUAAAGUAAAAACCAGGAACCACAACAUCCCAGCCAUAAAUCCUUCUACUAUUCUGAAAAACGGAUGACCGAUAACGCAUAUUUAAAUACGAUGCUCCUCCCACUUGUUCAGGAGCAGCCAAUUAGAGUCCUUCCUCCUCGCCCGCGAUUUCGUGUUCUCGCGGUGCUAGGCUAACCCUAGCGGGGGGGGUUGUGCUCUCGAAGCUUUUCCGUUCUUGUCCGAGGCACGAGUCAAAACUUUGUGCGUGCGUAUAUGUCUGCUCUCUUUUGCUUCAUUAUAGAUUUGUGGAUGUCGCUGCACUCAAAAAUGAUAAAGGCAACCAGGAAAAGGUCACAAGCUGGUCCAUCGAUCAGGACAUUUUUCAGAUUUUAACAUUUUCUUUGAAACUUUAGCAGCUUUAAAGGAACACUACAGUAAGGGGCUCAGUUAAAGCAUUCCGAUCCCAUUGGGAAGGGUUUUGGUUUGACUGAAGCUGGUGAUUCAGAGUAUGGUCGUCUGUUUGAAGACCCGUGACAACAAUUAUUUGUCAGAAUACCAGAUCUUGUAUGCAAUCUGUUGUCUAUCUUCUGUCUUGGAUUAUAUAUUUUGAUAAUAGUUUUAUUUCAAUUGUGCAAGCAGUUUUAAAACCUGUAUAUUGAGAGUAA
Molecule: long non-coding RNA, 749 nt
Filed under: Lepisosteus oculatus (spotted gar)
Lineage: Eukaryota; Metazoa; Chordata; Actinopteri; Semionotiformes; Lepisosteidae
Description: lncRNA (ENSLOCG00000021582.1)
Source: RNAcentral